UUGAUUUUGACUUUUAUCCUACAUGGAUAACUGUGGUAAUUCUGGAGCUAAUACAUGCAUAAAAGAUGUUUCUUUAUUGAAACAUUGCGUAUAUUAGUAUUAAAACCAAGCAUUCUUUUGAAUGUUUUGUGUUGAAACUGAAUAUAUCUGCUGAUCGUAUGGUCUUGUACCGACGACAUGUCAUUCAAGUGUCUGAUCUAUCAACUUUCUAUAUAAGUAUAUAGUACUUAUAUGGUUUUGACGGAUAACGGGGUAUUAGGGUACGACUCCGGAGAAAAUGCCUGAGAAACGGCGUUUACAUCCAAGGAAGGCAGCAGGCGCGAAAAUUACCCACUCUCAGUACGAGGAGGUAGUGACGAGAAAUGACAAGAUCUAUUCCUUCGGGGAUGGAUCAUUGGAAUGGUUUGAUAUUAAAAUCAUUAAAGAGUAUCAAUGAGAGGGCAAGUCUGGUGCCAGCAGCCGCGGUAAUUCCAGCUCUCAUACUGCAUUGAAUUGUUGUUGCGGUUAAAAAGCUCGUAGUUGGAUCUGUACAUGAUAGGUUAGUUUAUUCUUUACGGAAUAUAACUAAUACUAAAUGUUUUUUGUUAGAUUUUUUUAUGGUUCGUAAGGAUCAUAAAAUGUCUAACGAGUUUACUUUGAAUAAAUCAGAGUGCUCAAAACAGGCGUAAGCUUGUAUGGUUUUGCAUGGAAUAAUAGAACAUGACUAUGGUUCAUGUUUUAUUGGUUUUACUUACCAUAGUAAUGAUUAAAAGGAACAAACGGGGGCAUCCGUAUCGCAGGGCGAGAGGUGAAAUUCGUGGACCCUUGCGAGACGAACUACAGCGAAAGCAUUUGCCAAGAAUG
RNAcentral lists this ribosomal RNA (843 nucleotides) under Panagrolaimus sp. AS03. RNAcentral describes it as "SSU rRNA". It matches the Rfam family "Eukaryotic small subunit ribosomal RNA", at positions 115 to 966 of the family's 1831-position model. Lineage: Eukaryota; Metazoa; Nematoda; Chromadorea; Rhabditida; Panagrolaimidae. The record is from RNAcentral.